Molecule: small nuclear RNA, 146 nt
Filed under: Chelonoidis abingdonii (Abingdon island giant tortoise)
Lineage: Eukaryota; Metazoa; Chordata; Testudines; Testudinidae
Description: U1 spliceosomal RNA (ENSCABG00000011812.1)
Rfam family: U1 spliceosomal RNA
About the family: U1 is a small nuclear RNA (snRNA) component of the spliceosome (involved in pre-mRNA splicing). Its 5' end forms complementary base pairs with the 5' splice junction, thus defining the 5' donor site of an intron.
Source: RNAcentral
ACCCUUGCACCCCAGGAAUAUACCGUUUUUCACUGCUCUAGACCAUUUUACACUGUGGGUGUGUUGACCUCUGUGAUUUCCCCAAAUGUGGGAAACUCAACUGCAUAAUCUGUGGUAGUGGGGGACUGUGUUCGCACUUUCCCCUG